AAAGCUUCUACAUGAAUUAGGUAAUAGAAUAGAAUAAAGAAGAAAUUUGGAUGGAUGGCAAAUUCCUGAGUUGCCACUCCAAGAUAUGCGUCUUCUUUACUUAAUCAACAUACCAUACAACAGAUGAGAUGCUUUACCCCUACGUUUCUGUGGCUUUCCAUCUAUCUUAUCUAUCUAUUUCAAUCUUGACACAAUUUUAGACAUCCAAAUGCUUAGCUUAAAGAAAAAACAGCCUCCGUAGUCACAUGAGCCAGGAAGAACUGCCCCAAUGACUGCUUUAAUACAGGAAUUUUGGUCGGUCAGUGAGUACCACCUUUGGAGCUCGUUCUCCCAUUGCUAAAUUCCAUGUUUGUAUUAACCACAGAAAUGUAUGAACUCUCUCAUCUGCAAUCACUGCACAACCAAGUACAGUAGGUUGAAUAUGAUGGUGAACAAAACUGUCCCAUCUAAAUGGAGGGAGGGAGGUCUUUUACUUUUAGGUUAAAACAUAUUUAAUCUCUCAACUUUGUUGUUUAUUGGGUCAUAAUUAAUAAAUAAUAUGUAUGUUAAUCCAUAUUAUUAAUCAAACUAUUUAUAUUUUGAC
Cucurbita moschata (crookneck pumpkin) is the source of this 583-nucleotide long non-coding RNA. RefSeq lists it as uncharacterized. NCBI's taxonomy places the organism in Eukaryota, Viridiplantae, Streptophyta, Magnoliopsida, Cucurbitales, Cucurbitaceae. The transcript is spliced from 2 exons. The record is from RefSeq and is a predicted model, not a curated record.